This 863-nucleotide long non-coding RNA is filed under the name Ananas comosus (pineapple). RNAcentral's name for it is "long non-coding RNA (ACOM_LNC011719)". The record is from RNAcentral. Lineage: Eukaryota; Viridiplantae; Streptophyta; Magnoliopsida; Poales; Bromeliaceae.
UUUAAAUUUAAUUGUCACGCCCCGGAUGUCUCAUUCCCCGGGCACGCCGACAAAUCCGCCGUAUACAAGGAAUUUUUUCUGUAUACAAAGUGACAGCUGUACCUGUAAAUCAAACACUACUACGAAUAAUAGUAGAGAGCUGCUAGAGAAAACAGAAACUAAACAAACUGAGUUUCAUAUACAUAGUCCAAAUCCAAAAUACAGAGCUACUCGCACUGGCGAGUUAAGUCCACUAUGUACAUAAACUCAAAACAAAAUAUCUACCUGCAGUAGGGGCACCUCUAGCUCAGCACGUCGGGUAGGGCUCUAACUCGCGACGUCCUUGCCUUGAUCCUGAUCCGCGGAAGGCGCAGCAGCCGAAACCUGUGGCUCUGCAAAACAGGGGUAACAACUGGGCGUGAGAACUACUGUAAAAACAAGUAGUCCUCAGUGGGUACCGCCCAAAACAACAUCGGUCCACCCACUAAGUCUACAGAAGGGAGCAAGAAUGGCCGAAAAAGCAGAAAGUAAACUCAACCGCUACAAAUCACUACACUAUCAUGCUCUACACUAACCAACUGUAGGAAAUGUCAAAUCUGACCCAAUCCAAUCGGGACUGUAAACAUACCCGUCCCUGGGACUGUGAAUACACCCGUCCCUGCCCAGUUGCGACUAUCCAGCUACCUCCACACUAACAGGUCCGUGGAGAGCAAGUCCAACCGGCAUGAGCGACAUCAACGCGAAAGCACAAAGCCGUCUCCGGAGUGGCACUCGUGGGCGCUACCCAACCGAGUAUGCAGCGUAUCUCUGUCGAGCUCAAUCAGGCUCUCGAAAGCCAAAGUCCAGUAACUAACUCAACCUGGUCUAAGAACCAACAAGUAAAG